This 113-nucleotide ribosomal RNA is filed under the name Streptomyces sp. SID8354. RNAcentral's name for it is "partial 23S ribosomal RNA". It matches the Rfam family "Bacterial large subunit ribosomal RNA", at positions 2815 to 2925 of the family's 2925-position model. The record is from RNAcentral. Lineage: Bacteria; Bacillati; Actinomycetota; Actinomycetes; Kitasatosporales; Streptomycetaceae.
CACUUGAUGGGGUAAGGCUCCCAGUAGAUGACUGGGUUGAUAGGCCAGAUAUGGAAGCAUCGUAAGGUGUGGAGUUGACUGGUACUAAUAGGCCGAGGGCUUGUCCUCAGUUG